UCUGGGCUCUGUGCAGCAGCCCCAGGUCCCUCCUGUGCUGGCCAGGCUGGGGCAGCUCUGCAGGUGGCUCUCAGCUGAGGGCAGAGGGGCACAAUCCCCUCCCCUGCUGCCCGGGCCGGGCCCAGCCCAGGGCAGGGUUGGGCUGGCGGCUCUCGGGGCCGGGCAGGGCCGGCUCUGCCCCGCGGCUCCCCCAGGGCUCUCCCGGGGCUGCUCCGGCUGCUCAGCCCCAGCCUGGAUGGACCCCGGGGGCUGCCCCGGCCCAGGUGCAGCCCCAGCGCUCGGCCUUGGCAAAGCUCAGCAGAUUCCCAGGGAAUUCCCGCUUCUGGAGCUUGUCCAGGUCCCACUGCCACCUCAGCUCCUUGUCAUCUGCAAAUAAAUUCAGACCAGUGAAGAAGUGGAUAUUAAGAGUUACAGGCAGUUCCUGUGAAUGCUGAGAAGAGAUUAGAGAACAAAUACUGAUGAGAAGCAUUUCAAUAACAACCUUUCCCAUGGAGAAAUUCUUCGUGAUGUCCAGCCUGAACUUCCCCUGGCAUAACCUGAGCCUGUUUCCUUUUGUCCUGCCUCUUGUUCCCUGGGAAGAGCCCAGAUUCCACCUGGCUGUAUCCUCUAUGACUUUUUAAAAAAUUUUUUAAGCUUCAGGAACUGCAGACUGCUCCAACGCCAAUGGAAGUUCAUGAGAAAAAACCAAUUUCCUGUUUUGAACAACUGAAGUGAGCAAAGGUGGGAUUAAGGAAUGUGGAAUUCUAAGGAGCCAGCUGAAGAUGGAAGUGAUUGAAGUAUGAGGGAUGUCUUUGUGUUCCUGCUGAAGGUGGAGGGAACCCACCAACUCACACUUUAUGUGCUUUGGCUUCUUUUUGCAGCAUGGGAGUUUUUAGGGCAAAUGUGGGGGAAACAGCUGUGUAAAAUGAGAUGGGAAUUUGUAUCUGCUGGAGCUGGAAGCUCAAAACCUGAAGCCCUGAAGUUCCCAACAGAAAGAUUUGUUCACGCUGUUCACAUCCCUGGAAGGCCAUGGAAUAGUCCUGGAACAGCAGUGGAUUUUGGGAGUGUGUCUGUGUGCUUGUGUAGACAGCUGCUGCUCAUGAUGCUUCAGCCCGUGCUCCUGCUGAGCUGGAGCAGUGGAAAUAUAUAUAUUGGGUUGUUUGAAGUGUUUAACUCACCAGAGCUGCUUCCCAAAACUGAGCACAGCUGCUGUUGAGCUGUUUGUGCACGGUGUGGUGCAGCUCCCUGAGCACAGGCACCUGGUGCUGUUUUGGAAGCACCAGUGAAACCAGGACGUCCAGAGUAGCCACAGCAGAUGCAGGGUGGGUGAAUCAUCAGCUGGAUAUUUAUGCACCAAAGUGUCUCUGCUUUAGUAAUCUGAAUUAUUUCUCAAAACUCAUUCCGAACUAACUUGGGAAUGUGCAUUAGACAGGUCUGUAAAAUAUAACUCUUUAUCAGUCACCAGGUCCUGUGGCCAGUUCUGGGCCCUUGUGGAAAGAGAGCCCUGGAGGGGCCGGAGCGUGGCCAGGG
This is a long non-coding RNA of Vidua chalybeata, 1509 nucleotides long. RefSeq lists it as uncharacterized. NCBI's taxonomy places the organism in Eukaryota, Metazoa, Chordata, Aves, Passeriformes, Viduidae. The record is from RefSeq and is a predicted model, not a curated record. The transcript has 6 exons.